Molecule: RNA transcript, 9527 nt
Organism: Amphiprion ocellaris (clown anemonefish)
Lineage: Eukaryota; Metazoa; Chordata; Actinopteri; Pomacentridae
Exons: 5
Source: RefSeq, a predicted model, not a curated record
UCUAAUGGCUUGGAAAUGCAAAAUCUGUGCUGCUGUCUUUGAUAAGAGGACACGUGUUUGAACACUGUCAUUUGCCUCAUAGUAAUGUUUCCUCUGUCAGCCCAUUGCCAUGUCUCUAUGAUGACUGUCUGCACCUUUCAGUCAGUAAAUGCUUUGAAAAUUCACUUAACAUGGCUACAUACUCAGACUGUUGUGCAAAGUGGAAAUCACAUGGAAUGUGUAUCAUUUAUCUGUCCAAUGUGUGGAUUCAAGCAGCCCUUUAAUGAGAAAACUGCAAUCAGUCAUUUAAGAACACAUUUGAAGCAGCAUGAGAUGGUGGAUUGUCCAUUCAAAAAUUGCCACUACCGUACAAAUGUGUAUUCCUCUUUUAAUGCCCACAAAAGUAGGAAUCAUCCAGAUAGCGAUGUCUCAGAUUUCAAGAAUGAGAUAGUCUUGACAGAAACUGCACACAUUGACAGCUCAAUGCAGAGUCAAAUUGAAUCGGACGAUGCUGACCCCUCUCAGAAUUUGCCUGAAUUAGAUACUCCUGUCUGUAAUCCUCAUGAGUGUAGUUAUGACAUUGUUGAAUUGCAGGCUCAAUUGAGAAUGAACUUGGCUUCUUUUCACAUGAAAAUGCACAGUGUUCUUCAUGUAUCAGAGAUAGCAAUACAAGACAUAGUUGACAAUUUGGUACAAAUAUUCUCAUUGUCUAAACCUCUUGUAAGAGACUCAGUCAUCAUGGUACUGCAAGAGCAUGAUCAGUCUGUCAGUGAUGUUCUUCUUAAUGAAUUAGUGGAAGCCAUCAUGAAAAGUAACGUCUUGGUCAGUGCAACUGCAGAAGGUGCAGAGCUGUCCACCACUAAGCGGAGGAAAACGUUUAUUAGGAGCAACUACCCUGUGGUAAUGCCAGUGCAAUAUACUGUAGAUGUCAGUGGACACACAGCAGUCUACGUUCCGAUACUACAGAUGCUUCAAACAAUGUUUAAAGACACUGAUCUUCUUGAUAAAAUUCAAGAAGCUAAACCAUCACCACCUGGAACAUACAUGUGCCAUGAAGAUGGUACAUAUUUCAAAGAAAAUCAGUUACUGUCAGAAGAGGGAGAGCUUAAACUGUCACUGAUUUUGUAUGUGGAUGACGUUGAAUUAGCAAAUCCUUUAGGCACAGCUAGAAAGAUCCACAAGCUUUGUGCAGUAUAUUGGUUGCUUGCCAAUGUACCCAGUAAAUAUAGGUCCAGCCUGCAUGUCAUACAGCUAGCUCUGCUGUGCAAAGUACCUGACAUGCAGAAGUGUGGUUAUGAAAGUGUCCUGUCACCUUUGUUGAAAGACUUACAGACUCUUGAGCAGGAUGGCAUUUUCACUGAAAGUCUUGGUCAGUGUAUCAGGGGCACUGUGAUGUGUGUAGCAGCUGAUAAUUUGGCAGCUCAUGGUCUUGCAGGUUUUGUGCAGUCUUUCUGGGGAAACUGUGUGUGUAGAUUCUGUUGCUGUACUACAGACCAAAUUCAGACCAGUGAAGUAUCUGAAGCAGCGUUUGCCAUGAGGACCAAGGCCGACCAUGAUCUACAUGUGCAAAAUGUGCAAAAUGUGCAAAGAGAAAAUGUAACCCAUUAUGGUGUUACUGGUGAGUGUGCUCUCAGCAAGGCAUUGCAGCAUUUUCAUCCCAUUACUGGUUUCCCACCCAAUAUACUGCAUGAUCUGUUUGAGGGUAUUGUACCAAUUGAGCUGGCCUUGUGCAUUCAUCAAAUGAUUCGACUUAAAUAUUUUACUCUUGAGUAUUUAAACACAAAAAUUUGCACAUUUCCAUAUCAGCACUCUGAUAAGCUUGAUAAACCGCAACUAAUACCAAAAAAUUUUGCAACAAAAUGAAGCAUCGGUGGGAAUGGACAUGAAAAUGCCACCUUGUUGAGGUUAUUACCACUUAUGGUAGGAAGUAAGGUUCCUGAAGGAGAUGAGGCAUGGGCUGUAUUGAUGGACCUUAAAGAAAUUGUGCAGCUAGUGUUGUCUCCAUCUUUCACAGAGGAAUCCCUGCAAUACAUGCAGACUAAAAUACGUGAUCACAGACAGGGUCUUACAACAGUCUUUGCAGACUUGAAGCUCAGACCCAAGCAUCAUUAUGUUGAACACUACCCAGACCUGACGUUUUGGUCCCUUAAUUCACCUAUGGACCAUGAGGUUUGAAGGAAAACAUAGAUUUUUCAAAAAGGUAAUACAUGAUGCACAAAAUUUCAAGAACAUCUUGAAAACUCUUUCUACCAGACAUCAGCACAUGAUGGCGUAUUACCUCAAUGCCCCAUCAUUUUUCAAACCUCACACACAAGCUGCAAAUGUCACCUUUGUCCAAGUUGCUACUCUGCCUCAAGUGGCACAAGACUUCAUAGAGACCAAGACUGAUAGCCAAACCAUAUACAGUACAUCAAAGGUCUCUAUGAAUGGCACAGAGUAUGCAAAUGGUAUGUUUGUUUCUGCAGGCCAGAGAGGAGGACUUCCAAAAUUCAGCAGAAUUGAGCACAUACUGCUUGUGAAUAACUCCGUUUACUUUGUUUGCAGGAGCUAUGAGUGCUGGUAUAGUGAGCAUCUGAGAUCAUUUGAGCUGACAUCAUCUGACACUUGCUCUGUGCAUCGGCUGACCGAACUAAAUGACACAGUAAGUCUCGCGGCAUACUCCAUUGAUGGACGUUUACUGUUAACACAGAAAAGAUUUAUUAUGGUCAGAGACGUGGAGGACUAAAAUGCAUUUAGACAUUGGGACUCUUACUACAGUAAGAUCCAGCCAGAGCUUCAUAUGAUAAUCUUCUGAAGAAGAAAUCAAAAUGUACAAUCUGAAUCACAGUUUUUCUCACCUCACUUUCUUGAAACACUGUUCAGAAAAUUUAAAUUCACACAAGUUAACAACAAAAUAAUGCAUUCUCUCUUUUCUUUUUAACAAUAGGAGAUGGCAGCACAAAAUUUCCUACUACAUGUCCAUGUCUCCACAGACCUUGUGAGGAAGAUGACGUUAUCCUCACGUCCAGAAUCUGUGGAUGAUUUAAAAAUAAUGAUAAAAGAGAAAUUUAAGCUUGACUUUGACUUCAGCCUGUCAUACGAAGAUCCAGACUUUGACGGACAACUUUGUUCACUAGUAGAUAUUGAGGAACUUCCACAGAAGCCUGUAGUAAAAGCUAUAAGAUUUGAGAGUGACGACAGCUCAGUAGCAUCAGAUGACACAAUAAUACUGCCCCAUGCCAUGACUCCAGAAAGAGCUGAGAGAUGGCCUCAGGUUUUUCCUAUGAGGUAGAAUUCAUACUCAGUGAAGGGAAUGCUACAUAUGUGAGAACAGGGAAAACUCUCAAGUUAUCUAGAGGGCCAAAGCAUGACAUCCUUGAGACUUGCUUCCAAAAUGCAUAGCUAUAAAGCAUACCCCAGUGAUAGGGAAGUUUCAGUGGUAGCAGAAGCUCUUGUAACUAAGCAUCCUUGUCUAAAAGAACCAGGAUCUCAGACAGGGUGGUACGGUUGGAAAAAUAGUCUGAAGUUUAAAAUAGGGAACUACCGCACUAAGUUAAGUCGGGCUGGAUUUCAGGAGGUAGCUGUAAAUUCGGGGAAGAGAAGUAGAAAAAACCCAGAGAAACAAUCUCCUCACAGUAACAUCAAAAGACCCAGAAGGCAGAAGUGAACUUCCUCCCCAAUUACCCAAGGGGUGAAGAUACUACAAGCCUUGAGCAACUGAGACUGCAAAUUGUGGAUGAAGUGAAGAUGAGUGACAAAAAUCUUGUCCAUAUUACAAAGUUAAUGCAGACCACCUUUGCCCUGCGGCGCAAAUAGGUUGUCAAUGAUGACCUACCUGUUGCUGAGAUCCUGGAAAGGUGGCCUGCCCUCAAAAUAGAGUCACAGAUCUGUGCUGAGUUUCACAGAAUUACAAACAUGAACCUGAAGAACCGCUUCUAUGCUGUGUUGGAUCGACAUUCUCCCCAUCUUCACAACUUGUUCAGGAAGAAAGCUGCUCGCACUGGGAAAGUGGCUGAAGUUCUGGGUCAGCUCUUCGGGAUUUAUGACCUCCAGGAACAUGUUGAUGUCCAUGUAAGACGAGCUGCUGUCCUCCGUGCUCUCCCUGCCUAUCUACAUGAAGAUGACUCUGGCUUUCUAAAGAUGUGGCACGUGGAGCAACAGUCUGAUGACCCAGACAUUGAUGACUUACCUCUUGGACUCCUCUCUGUUGGUGCCAAUUCAAGAGAUGUCACAUUCUUCUGCCCAGAGAAGAUUACAGUUGUGGUUGAGGGUAACAUAGUUAUCAAUGUCCCCACAAUGGCUCAUGCAUAUGUCAUGCUGUUUGCACUGAUUUACGCCCUGCAUUUAAGUUACCCAAAAGAGUUGUCCAACACAUUUGACUUUAUCCAGAAAGUCUUGAUGGGUCUGGAGGAUGGAAAGUUGAGGCCCAGAGUGCUGAGUCUUAAAAAUGACCUUUUAGCCAUGGAGUAAACUCUGUGUUGGAGUUUCAAUGUCCACUUCUGUUUCUUUUGGGACACAGCCUAGAAAGGAUUUUUACACAUUUAACAGGUGUGUGUGUUGAAAGUAUUGUUGUUCAUGUUGUUCAGCUUAAAAUAUAACUUGUGGAUUCGGUUCGGUUUCAGGCAACAAUGAAAGUCACUGAAUAUAGCACCAAGCAAGAUAAUCAUGACUCCGGUUCCUUUCAUUUAGUGACAUCACCAGACCACCGGAGACACAACCCAGGUUCAAAAAAUUCUAAAAAGAAUGUGGUAAUGGUAAAUCACUGAACGAGAUUGUUUAUGGCAAUAGUGAAUUUUAGUGCUCUAAACCUACAGGCCUUGCACUGUUGUGGGAAGAUUAUUCCCGUGUUACUGUUUGAAGUCAAGUUAGUGGAUACUCAGAUAUUUUGGCAUAACGCGUACACUGAGGUAGAGGUCUGAUAUCUUUGUGACCAAAAUGAUGUCCGGCAGUAUUGGAUUUUUGCUAUUUGUUGCGCACAAUGCCAAGACUGUUAUGAUAUAGAUUCAUUUUACAAUGAAAAGGUUUUGUGUAAUGUAACAGGGUUUUAUGCAUAUUGCCCACUUUUAGGAGUUCCAUGUCUUUGGUGAUUUUUACAGCCUUUCAACUGUUUUUUGAAGAGUUCAUUGGAUUUCCAUUUCCAAACAAUUUUAUGGCAGAUGUUUGCCUUAUGUUUUACAGUUACUUAAUAAAAAAGUAACUUGUGGUUAAAUUGUCUGUCUUAACCAUUUUUAUUUAAUUUCAGAAUGUGUUAAGUUAGAAACUUUGAGUUAGAGUUACUCAAUAAAUUUUAUGUAAUCAGUUUCAAAAAAAAAUUUAACUGCACAAUCGUGUAAUUUUUAGUUGUUAUUAUAUAAAGGUUUUAAUUAUAGCUGAGUUUAUAUAACUUGGUUGAAUUUAAAAAUUUUAAGUUAACAAAAAGUAAACACUUUGUUAGUAAGAAAUUAAAUACUUUAUGUUAGGGUAAUAAAAUUUUUAAGUUAUCAAUGCUUAUUUUAAUUAGUAGAGUGAACCCCAAAUACCUAGUACAUAUGACUUAAUCAACGUUUCUCUAACUUAUAAAAUUAAGUAAGUUUGACUUAAAAUGAGCUAGCUCAGGCUACGUAAUGACGAAUGUUCCCUAAACUUAAAAUAUGAGGUAGACUUACUUAAAAGUUUCGAUGUAAUCAGUUUCAAAAGAUUUUUUGAGUCACAAUAACUCAUCGGGUUUUACAGUGUAAAACAUCCAGAAUUGGAGCUCAUAUCUUUGGCAGCUGUAAAGUUUCUGCUCCUUCAAAGUUCACAACACAAUGAAUGAAUUCCUAAAACACUCUCAAUGCUGGAGAACGUUUGUGAUGCUGAAGCAGUGACCAGUUUUUCUGUUUCUUCUCUGGAGAUGCACAAUGAGGGACGUCUGCAGAGACUGAGAAAGAGUCUCACCACAUCCUGACAUGAGGAAAAAGACUUUAUUGAAGACUACAAUGAGAAAAACUAUCAGACAGCAGACGGCUGCAUUCAAGUCUGUAGCUGCUAAAUUCAUGGAUGAAUCAUCUGGCACUAGAGAGGAAGACCAUCAAACAUCCACGUCAGCUGAUGGAGGUCCAAGAGUCUCACCAAACAAACAACCUACAGAGUGAAGACCUCGAAUCUGAUUGGACGGCCUCCUAUUCAGCCACGUGUGAACAAAUGCCUCUAAGUUGAUUUGAUUUCUAAAAUAAAUCUAGUUUGUGUCCUAAUCUAUGCCUGUGUGUUUGCUUCUUUACACUGCUGUUAACAGUUUAGGCUGUUAGAUUGUUCCAGAUAAGACAAGUACAAGAUUGUUCAGAGCCGUUCUACCACGAGCCUGACAGGAAGAACUCCAGCAGCUACUGAAUGUUCCUGUGGUCCCCUCAAGGCUACAGGAGGAGUCCUACGAGGACGAGCCGGUCCACCUGAUGGUGGCCAGUCGCUGCGGUUCAAAGCCAACACCGACUACGUGGACUUCUACUGGACCACACGGAGGCCUUCAAACCGGACCAACAAGUUCAGCGACUCCCCGACUCGUGGGUCUGAGGACGCCGCCGAGCCUCGGUCCAGCCGGCCUCCUGUCUGUGGGUGUUUGAGUGCUGAGAGGUUUGUGGAUGCAUGUGAACGUUCUGUGUUGAAACAGCAGCUUUGGACUCAGUAACGCCGGGAAAAACCAAGAGCUCCUUUAUUUGUGACUUCCACUAAAAAACUGAUGAAAAUAAGUUUGCCAGGGUUCUGACUGAUAACAGAUUAUUAAAUAAUGAAAAUAAUCAUUUAAAUAUUCCUUUAAACAAUCCUUUUAGGUCUACAUUUCCUUUACACUGACUUUUUGGUAUAUGCACAAGUAUUUUGGGUGGAAUAUACCAUUAAGCCCAAUGUUCAAGGGUUCUUCUGGGAAUAUACCAUUCAACCAACCUUUUAGGUAAAUGUUCCAGGAUGUUGGGUAGAAUAUACCAUCAGAUCAACCUUUCAGGUCUACAUUGGAAAAUUUUAGAGUAGAAUAUUACUCCAAACCAUCCUUUAGGUCUACAUUUAAGGUGGAAUACUCCUUUACACCAAGAUUUUUUGGUCUACAUUGAAGGAUUUUGGGUGGAAUAUUCCUUUGAACGAACUUUUUAAGUUUAUGUUCAAGGAUGUUGGGUGGAAUAUACCAUCAGAACAACCUCCAAGGUCUACAGUAGUGAAUUUUAGGUGGAAUAUACCAUUAAACUCACCUUUUAGGUCUACAUUGGAGGAUUUUAGGUGGAAUUUUCUUCCAAACCGUCUUUUAGUCUACAUGUAAGGAUGUUUAGGAUGGUAUAUUCUUCCAAACCAACUUCUCAGGUCUACAUUUCAGGUGGAAUAUUCCUCCAUACUAACUUUUUUGGUCUACAUUGGAGGAUCUUUUCUAAAUCACCCUUUCAGGUCUAUAUUUGAGGUUUUAGGUGGAAUAUUCCUUUUAACCAGCCCCUCAGGUCUCUUUGAGGAUUUUGGAUGGAAUACUCUGUUAAACCAACAUUUUAGGUGCAUGUCCAAGGAUUUUUGGUGGGAUGUUCCUUUAAGGUGGAUGUGUGAGGACCUUGUAGGUGGAAUACUUCCUGAAACCAACCUUUUAGGUCAACAUUCAAAGAUUUAAGUUGGAAUAUUCCUUUAAACCAACCUAAAUUUCAUGUUUUGAUCAUUAUCAAGUGAGAAACCUCAAUCCAGACUCCUCAUAAUGACGUUUGAGAUUUAUGCUGCUGUUAUUUGUUUAGUCCAGACUAAAUGACAGAAAUCCACAACUGCAAUUUUAUUUCAGGACUCGGUUAUUCAAUAUCAAAACAAUCCAUGUGACUCUAAAAACUCAACAGCUUUACAAACUGUAAGAUUAAACUCUCCACAAGGAUCCAAAAUAAGUUGGACUUCUACAUGAGAGCUUUAAUCAUUCUUCAUCUACUUCCUGAAAAGUUUGGUAAAAAAAAAAAGACAAAAACUAAUAUUUUCAGCUGAACUAAAGACAGACUUUGUGAUUUUUCUGCUCACAUGUUGUGUUGUUGUAAACUUACUCUUUCAAAUAAAUAUCCGCCUAACCCCCUGGAAACCAGCGUUUGUCCUGUUUUUGUGUUGCUCCUCGGCGACCCUAGACAGCCGGGUCCUAAUGUUUUUUGAGCAACACACCAUACUGUGAUGCUUUUACAAUGAGGGUUCUACUAUGGAACCAGUUUGACAUGUUCAGGUGUUCUUUGUGUGAAAACUCAGAGAUUUCAUGUAUCAGAAGGUGGUUUUCAACUUUGUUAACUUUCUGCUUCAACUUUAAACUAAAUUUCCUUCACUAAGCCAGCCCUCUGGACUUCCAGGAAGCUGUGUUCCUAUUGGCUGUCCAGGUGGCUGCUAGGUAUUAUCAGGAACACCUGAGCAGCUCAGUGUCUUCCUGCUUUAUUUAGCUGCAGACAAACAUUUCCUCUGCUUCUCCACCACUGAACCGGGUUUGGCUCCGUUGCUUCAGUUUGUUCUUUAGGCGUUGGCUUGCAGCUUCCAGCAGUAAAAUCGUCUAUAAUGUGUUUCUUGGUGUGUUUUAGGGCUUUGUACUGGAUAGUUGUCUUGGUACAUGUGGUUCUUUAGCCACAGUUAGCACAUGGUGCUAAUGUGUGCAGUAAUUAGUGGAUUUGGUACAGCUGCGUUGUGUCUUUAUCUUGGCUGUAGUGAGUCUUUAGAGGUUUUUGGUCAGACACAUUCUGUAUUCUCAUUUGAGAACCAAGGUUGGUUGUCCAGAAGGUAAGAGUUCCUGUCCUGAUUCUCUGUUCUCAGAGGUUCUCUGGUAGGCUGCAGGAGACUUUAGCGUUUGGGUUGUGCUAGUUUGGUUUUUGUAUGGUUUCAUUUGGACGACUAUCUUGAGGCCCCUCCAUGUGAUUUAGUGAGGUUUUCUGCAACAGUUCUACAAAGCAACCUGCAGCAGAAGAGACUUUGAGAGUUUUUAGGAAGUUCUGGAGACCAGACUUUAGAGCAGCAGAAACAUUUGUCAGCAGUUUGAGCAGGAGAAGGUGAGCUUCAGAGUAGAAAUGAGACGGAAACCUUCUUGACCCGUGUGGUGAGGUCCUGUACCAAGAGUUUGAGCAGGUUGUGAAGAGUCUGUAGUUCUUUGGUCUGAAAGCACAAGAAGAGUCAGUUUCCAGUUUCCUUAGACUGAAUAUCAAGUUUAUGUUUUAAAUGAUUUCCCAUGUGAGCCCAAGAAGACUUCAAUAAACUCCCUCCAUCCCCUGGACACAACAGAUUUUAUUACCAUGUUAAUUUUUUUUUUAAAAAUAUGUUUUUGAGUUUUAAUCAUAGUUUAGCAUCGUUUUUUUUCUUUGCUUGUUUUGUCAUCUGUGUGAAAGGUGCUAAACAAAUAAAGCUGAAUUGAUAAACUGAAUAAUUGACUAACUCGUGAGUGUGACAACAGAAGUAUUUUCAUUGUGAUUUAAGGGUUUGUUUCAUUUUAAAAGUUGGGGUUAAAAUCUUAACUGAAAAAAAAUUAAAGAAAUAAACUACAUUUUUAAAAAGCAAUUAAAUCAAAUGAAAAAAUAUUUAAUACAAUAAAACUUUUAAAAAGAAAAUUAAACAUUAAAUAAAGUUAAAUUAGAUUCAACAGA